UGGGGAAUAUUGCACAAUGGGCGCAAGCCUGAUGCAGCCAUGCCGCGUGUAUGAAGAAGGCCUUCGGGUUGUAAAGUACUUUCAGCGGGGAGGAAGGGAGUAAAGUUAAUACCUUUGCUCAUUGACGUUACCCGCAGAAGAAGCACCGGCUAACUCCGUGCCAGCAGCCGCGGUAAUACGGAGGGUGCAAGCGUUAAUCGGAAUUACUGGGCGUAAAGCGCACGCAGGCGGUUUGUUAAGUCAGAUGUGAAAUCCCCGGGCUCAACCUGGGAACUGCAUCUGAUACUGGCAAGCUUGAGUCUCGUAGAGGGGGGUAGAAUUCCAGGUGUAGCGGUGAAAUGCGUAGAGAUCUGGAGGAAUACCGGUGGCGAAGGCGGCCCCCUGGAGGAAGACUGACGCUCAGGUGCGAAAGCGUGGGGAGCAAACAGG
RNAcentral lists this ribosomal RNA (429 nucleotides) under Chloroflexota bacterium. RNAcentral describes it as "Chloroflexi bacterium partial 16S ribosomal RNA". It matches the Rfam family "Bacterial small subunit ribosomal RNA", at positions 355 to 776 of the family's 1533-position model. The record is from RNAcentral. Lineage: Bacteria; Bacillati; Chloroflexota.